AGCAAUCACUCUGCAGCUGUAAUACCGGGUGUUCCGGUGCUUGGUGAUGACUGUCUGCCCCACAGAGAUACCCUUCUCGCCAGCCUUGGACUUCUAAAAGAAGGGGCACAGAAAAAGGAGAGAAAAGAAACAGGAGAAAGAUAAAAGGCUUAUUGAGCACGUUCUCUGUUCCACAUACCCAUUGAGAUACUUCUCAGGUAUUUCACUCCAGUACCACCAAAGGUUAGCUAUAUAGCCAUGCUGCUCUGAUACCUUCACCAGAUCCAGUGCAACACGGAUCCUGUCCUGAGCCACACAUAGUGAUGACACAGAAGGAGUUCACUGAAGCUUGCCUGGGGAGCUGGCCUGAAGACCCAAAGGCUGAGGGAAAAAAGUGUCUGUCUCCAUCUUAAUAGCCACAACUUAGAAUAAGUAUGAAAGAAACAAACUUCUCAAAUGUCAUAUUUUUCAAGAGGAGAGGGCACCGAAAAAAAUGAUGUACCUCAUACAAGAUGUGUCCCAGGUGACUUCUCAGAGGAAGAACCUCUCCAGCAGAGACAACUGCGGUCCUGGGAAGAGCCAAUUCAAGGUAUAAACACAGACUGUCCAGUCCGGAGCCCAUCCCCUCUUCUGCAGCUCCCAACCCACUGCCUUGCUCCGCUCAGGUUUCUAUGAUGGUCGCUUCAGGAGAAAAAUCACCUAACUAUGUAGAAACUGAGGCACAGAGCAGUUCAGAAACUUAACCAAGAUCACACAGCUCAGAUCAUCCUGCCCUCAAGGAAGGGGGUCUGAAGCAGUGAGAGAUCCAGAGCGGAGUGUGACAACCCAGGAAUCUCCAGAUGAAGUGUCAAGUCAGCAGACAAUGCUGGUUACAGAGGCAAAGCAGACUCUCACAGGAAAAGGACUAUCUGCAGUCCUCUGGAGGCAUGCUGGGACUCACAUGCAAGAAGCAGUCAAAGCUCUGCCUCUGCAAAUGGAACAAGAGAAGCACUAUUCCUUCCAUCAUCAACCUCAGAAAGGACUCAAACUACAAGGCUCUGGAAGAUCCAGUGAGCACUUGUGAAAUCACUCUAAAUGCCCCUGGUGUCUUACCUUGAUCAUAAUAUCAGUGACAAUGCCUGACUGGGUCUCCUCCUAAUUCUUCCUGAAUCUUACUUGCUACGAAUUCUGAAAUGAAACCCAGGUGAGCACACACUACUCCUAAUGGAGCGUUGGUCUGAGUCCCUCUGUGCCAUUCUAGUGGGUGAGGUUGGAGGAAAAUCUUCUAACUGGUCCCUUCAUUCAUCAUUUAAACCUUUCCUGGGUAUGGACUCAGGCCCCACUUGAGGCUCUAGUGAUGAAAAGACAAACAGGUUACAGUCUCUUCCCUGGAGGAAGGACAGAAUCUCCAGAGAAGGAAAUCUCUGAAGUUAUUUCUUUGAUGACUCCAUUCUCGAACCACUAUGAUGUCAUUCACAGGGAGAAGGACCAAGCCAAGUGAAAGGUGCCUGAUAUCUAAACAUCAUCUACCCAAAUACCUUCCUAAAAAGUCCCUUUAGCCAGUAAUUAGAUCUUUAGUUCCUGCUCUUGUCCAAUCUCUAAAGGAAUGCAAGAAAUUUGGAAUAUUCAUCUUGUCCCUUGAGUUUCCGAAGUAACAUUCCUUAUUAGCAUCUGGUCUAACUUCAAAUGAUUGCCCUUCUGCACUCAUCUCCAGAGCUACAGACACUUGUUUUGCAGAGACCAGAGACCCAAAGCAUUUCUUCCAUCAAUAAUGAAGAGGUCUAUCUUCAUAUUUCCUCAUGCAAAGAAGUUACUCUACUUCUCAGAUUUCCCCCAUUACCCCUGCAGGCUCUGGGCCCAUGGGGUGUGUUCAAUGUUUUUCAACAGAAAUGUCAGGUGUGAUUCUGGCAUUUAUGGCUGCCAACAUCUUCCAAGUGGAUGAAUGCCAGUAACAUACUCCUGGAGACACUUUCAGUGACUGGUUUUAUAUCACCUUGUGAGAGCUGAUGAUUUCCUCUGAUCUUUUACACAUCUUGCACCAAGGACACAUGUUCAGGUUUCCCUCUGUUGUUCCUUGCUUGCAGUGAGUUUGGUUGUUGUAUGGGGCACAGGUAGGAAUGUUUCCCCCAAGUUAUUUAAAACUGUAUAAGCAUCAGGCUUGCCAAAUCAUAAAUUUAGGAAAUUGCAUUCUGUUAGAGUAAGUCCUUCCUUUAGCACUUUAGUCACCGAGUUAUUCUUCAAUUUCUUCCCUACAAACAUUUGGCCCAAGUCCCGAGGUCCAACCCAUAUCUAUGUGUCUCUUUGGCAAUAAAAGAGAUUCAGGAAAAGAGAAGGAACAAUAAAAUUUCAGGUUUACUGGCAGCACUAAGUGAAGUAAUCCCACUACGCAUACACUUUUCUUACAGGAAGAUCACUUACUCAAUCCUUCCGUUCACCUGCCUGAUGAGAUCUACAAAUAUUUUAAGAGGGUAAUUUGGAAGACUUAAAACAGCAGAAGUUGUUCAAGCUGUAGCAUCAGUCUCUGUUGUUUGCUUUAGGCUUGCCCUGAACAUUUAGCUCAUUUACACAAGUGAAUAACUACCUAUUUAUUAAUCAGGUGAACAAAGACUCAUUUAAACUACUUGUUAAUCGUGGUCUUCAAAUGUUUUUGCUUAUAAUUCCCCAAAAGACUUUUGGAAAACUACAUCUUUCCUUGAAUAUGUUAAAGUUAACUCAUAAAUUUUAUUUUUUUUUCUAUUUUAGGAUUAAAAAAAAUUAAAAGAUAUUAUUUCCCAGCA
Canis lupus familiaris (dog) is the source of this 2735-nucleotide long non-coding RNA. RefSeq lists it as uncharacterized. NCBI's taxonomy places the organism in Eukaryota, Metazoa, Chordata, Mammalia, Carnivora, Canidae. The record is from RefSeq and is a predicted model, not a curated record. The transcript has 7 exons.